GAUGAACGCUGGCGGCGUGCCUAAUACAUGCAAGUCGAGCGAACAGACGAGGAGCUUGCUCCUCUGACGUUAGCGGCGGACGGGUGAGUAACACGUGGAUAACCUACCUAUAAGACUGGGAUAACUUCGGGAAACCGGAGCUAAUACCGGAUAAUAUAUUGAACCGCAUGGUUCAAUAGUGAAAGACGGUUUUGCUGUCACUUAUAGAUGGAUCCUCGCCGCAUUAGCUAGUUGGUAAGGUAACGGCUUACCAAGGCAACGAUGGGUAGCCGACCUGAGAGGGUGAUCGGCCACACUGGAACUGAGACACGGUCCAGACUCCUACGGGAGGCAGCAGUAGGGAAUCUUCCGCAAUGGGCGAAAGCCUGACGGAGCAACGCCGCGUGAGUGAUGAAGGUCUUCGGAUCGUAAAACUCUGUUAUUAGGGAAGAACAAAUGUGUAAGUAACUAUGCACGUCUUGACGGUACCUAAUCAGAAAGCCACGGCUAACUACGUG
This 497-nucleotide ribosomal RNA is filed under the name uncultured bacterium. Its description in RNAcentral is "partial 16S ribosomal RNA". It matches the Rfam family "Bacterial small subunit ribosomal RNA", at positions 28 to 507 of the family's 1533-position model. The record is from RNAcentral.